Molecule: unclassified non-coding RNA, 225 nt
Filed under: Hevea brasiliensis (rubber tree)
Lineage: Eukaryota; Viridiplantae; Streptophyta; Magnoliopsida; Malpighiales; Euphorbiaceae
Source: RNAcentral
CUCAGAAUCAGAUGCAAAUUCAGAACUUUGGUGAACCUUUUUUCUUUGUAAUACAUGAAGGCGAGACAUUGGCAGAAAUAAAAAUACGAAUACAGAAUAGAUUACAAGUUCCAGAUGAAGAGUUUGCUAAGUGGAAAUUUGCAUUUCUUUCUCUUGGUCGUCCAGAAUACCUUCAGGACUCUGAUGUUGUGUCCAGCCGUUUUCAGAGAAGAGAUGUUUAUGGUG